RNAcentral lists this microRNA precursor (96 nucleotides) under Cricetulus griseus (Chinese hamster). RNAcentral's name for it is "miRNA (ENSCGRG00000022198.1, ENSCGRG00001004192.1)". The record is from RNAcentral. Lineage: Eukaryota; Metazoa; Chordata; Mammalia; Rodentia; Cricetidae.
GCUGUUGGCAACUGGCACUGUGGUUCCUGCAUGAAAACAGUGGCUGGUGGGGCCUGGACCUACAACACUACAUCUGCUGUCACAGUGAAGUCUGCC